AGUCGAACGGUGAAGCCAAGCUUGCUUGGUGGAUCAGUGGCGAACGGGUGAGUAACACGUGAGCAACCUGCCCUGGACUCUGGGAUAAGCGCUGGAAACGGCGUCUAAUACUGGAUAUGAGACGUGAUCGCAUGGUCGUGUUUGGAAAGAUUUUUCGGUCUGGGAUGGGCUCGCGGCCUAUCAGCUUGUUGGUGAGGUAAUGGCUCACCAAGGCGUCGACGGGUAGCCGGCCUGAGAGGGUGACCGGCCACACUGGGACUGAGACACGGCCCAGACUCCUACGGGAGGCAGCAGUGGGGAAUAUUGCACAAUGGGCGGAAGCCUGAUGCAGCAACGCCGCGUGAGGGAUGACGGCCUUCGGGUUGUAAACCUCUUUUAGCAGGGAAGAAGCGAAAGUGACGGUACCUGCAGAAAAAGCGCCGGCUAACUACGUGCCAGCAGCCGCGGUAAUACGUAGGGCGCAAGCGUUAUCCGGAAUUAUUGGGCGUAAAGAGCUCGUAGGCGGUUUGUCGCGUCUGCUGUGAAAUCCCGAGGCUCAACCUCGGGCCUGCAGUGGGUACGGGCAGACUAGAGUGCGGUAGGGGAGAUUGGAAUUCCUGGUGUAGCGGUGGAAUGCGCAGAUAUCAGGAGGAACACCGAUGGCGAAGGCAGAUCUCUGGGCCGUAACUGACGCUGAGGAGCGAAAGGGUGGGGAGCAAACAGGCUUAGAUACCCUGGUAGUCCACCCCGUAAACGUUGGGAACUAGUUGUGGGGACCAUUCCACGGUUUCCGUGACGCAGCUAACGCAUUAAGUUCCCCGCCUGGGGAGUACGGCCGCAAGGCUAAAACUCAAAGGAAUUGACGGGGACCCGCACAAGCGGCGGAGCAUGCGGAUUAAUUCGAUGCAACGCGAAGAACCUUACCAAGGCUUGACAUAUACGAGAACGGGCCAGAAAUGGUCAACUCUUUGGACACUCGUAAACAGGUGGUGCAUGCUUGUCGUCAGCUCGUGUCGUGAGAUGUUGGGUUAAGUCCCGCAACGAGCGCAACCCUCGUUCUAUGUUGCCAGCACGUAAUGGUGGGAACUCAUGGGAUACUGCCGGGGUCAACUCGGAGGAAAGGGUGGGGAUGACGUUCAAACACAUGGCCCCUUAUUUCUUGGGCUUCCGCAUGCUACAUGGCCGGUACAAAGGGCUGCAAUACCGUAAGGUGGAGCGAAUCCCAAAAAGCCGGUCCCAGUUCGGAUUGAGGUCUGCAACUCGACCUCAUGAAGUCGGAGUCGCUAGUAAUCGCAGAUCAGCAACGCUGCGGUGAAUACGUUCCCGGGUCUUGUACACACCGCCCGUCAAGUCAUGAAAGUCGGUAACACCUGAAGCCGGUGGCCCAACCCUUGUGGAGGGAGCCGUCG
RNAcentral lists this ribosomal RNA (1388 nucleotides) under Microbacterium sp. WW-by108. Its description in RNAcentral is "16S ribosomal RNA". It matches the Rfam family "Bacterial small subunit ribosomal RNA". Lineage: Bacteria; Bacillati; Actinomycetota; Actinomycetes; Micrococcales; Microbacteriaceae. The record is from RNAcentral.